Mastomys coucha (southern multimammate mouse) is the source of this 993-nucleotide long non-coding RNA. RefSeq lists it as uncharacterized. The transcript has 3 exons. The record is from RefSeq and is a predicted model, not a curated record. NCBI's taxonomy places the organism in Eukaryota, Metazoa, Chordata, Mammalia, Rodentia, Muridae.
UCCAGGGGGAUCCCCAAGUCCCAUGUUAUUCUGGAAGGUUGUGCCAAGAAGGCCCUUUUGGUCGCUGUCCUUCCCAUCUGGGUCUCUCUGCACCUUAAGAAGUGACUGUCCAUCUGGGCAGGCCCAGAACUGAUCGAUUGUGAACCCCCUCCCACUGGUUGGCAGAUACUGAGCAAGGCCUGGACUCCAUCCCUCAGCCAAAACCAAGAGGGAGCCCUGGCUGAUUUGGGAGACACUUGUUUGCCCAUCCUUGCUUGGCUGUCCAUGGGAGGAGAGAGAAAGGACUGUCCUCGCACUAUCCCCUGCUGAACAUGGUUCUUUGUGUUGACAUUUGGGGACCUGUGGCCUGACUCCCAGUGCUUAAAGAUCAGAUGGCUCAAGUGUAGGACCUGACUGGAAGUGCUCAGAACAAGAGCUCAGGCCUGGGUGCUGCUUUGAGAAAUGCAGGAGAAGCCUGGAGAGAGAUGUCUGGAGUGGCAACCAGCCCCUCCCUCUGGGAAAUGCCUAAACCUGAAGCCUGCAGGGAGCCCGGGAGGAUCCAGGACACCCACCACCAGCAGCCAGGACACCUCCAUCCUGAGACCCGGGGAACUGUGUGGAAAACAGGCAAGUCGGAUGAAACAGAGACAGAAAGCUCAUAUAGCAACACCCCUGCCGCACCUAACCAUCAAGCAGGGUCACAAAGAAGAUGACAAUUGCUAGUCACUAAUUGACAUUCACCUUCGGUGCAGCCACUACCCUUGAAAUCCUUUACCAGCCGACAGGCAGCUUUCAGUGCUGGCCCUGUGGGGAACUCCAAGUGCCAGUGCUCCCCACCCCCCACUCCAGCCCGCCCAGCUGGGAGGCCUGAGCCACACAAGGGUCCUAUAAGCCCUCCAGUAGGGCUGAAGAUCAAGACGGCCACCUUCGUCUUUCUGGAAAGCAACACUGGAGACUCGGCCCUUAUGGUCACUCUUGCUUAGUUCUUUUAGACAAAAGCAGGCUUCUUAGAGA